RNAcentral lists this microRNA (23 nucleotides) under Gekko japonicus. RNAcentral's name for it is "Gja-Mir-1329-v2_5p (mature (guide))". The record is from RNAcentral. Lineage: Eukaryota; Metazoa; Chordata; Lepidosauria; Squamata; Gekkonidae.
ACAGUGAUCAGGUUACGACGGAU